Non-coding RNA from Pelobates cultripes (western spadefoot toad), 950 nucleotides. The record is from the annotation of a GenBank genome assembly. Lineage: Eukaryota; Metazoa; Chordata; Amphibia; Anura; Pelobatidae.
GAAGGGGCCAGGGUGGUGGUUUUAACAUAAUAGGGUAAGAAAUACAUGAUUGUGUUCCUGACACUAUAGUGCUCCUUUAAGCAAGAGUAUGUGAAGAGUAGUUAAGGUUGCCACCUUUCUUGGAAAAAAAUACCAGCCUUAAUCAUUUGUAUAAUUAAUUAGUUAUGUGUGACAUCACAUGAUGUAAAUCACAAGGAGUGACAUCAGAGAAAAUUCUGUAAAAUCACCAACAAACUACUCACAGUUUGAUUCUGCUGUAUAGAUGGAUUGCUCCCAGUGUCUCACUGUCUCCCAGUGUCUCAGUCUCGUAAGUCACCCUGUGUCUCAGUGUCCCUAUGUAUCACAGUGUCAGUGUCCCCAUCUCGCCCAGUCCCCUAGUCUCCCAGUGUCUGUGUCCCCAUUUCUCCCAGUGUCCCAAUGUUUCAGUGUGUCCCCAUGUCACUAGGAUACUGGGAGACCCGGGGACACAGAGACAUGGAGACACUGGGAGACAUGGGGACACUGAGACAUUUAGGGAAACUGGGAGAAAUGGGGACACUGAGACACUAGGGACACAGACACUGGGAGACAUGGGGACACUGAAACAUUUGGGGACACUAAGACACUAGGGACAAAGACAUGGGAACACAGACAUUGGGAGACUAGGGACCACUGGCUGGGAGACAGACACUUGAGGACACUGGGAGACAUGGGGACAGUUGUGGACAUAGACAUGUGGACACUGGGACAUAUAGGGACACUGGGAGACAUGGGGACACCAGGCACACUAAGACACUAAGAACACAGACACUGGGAGACAUGGAGACACUGAAACAUUUGGGGACACUAAGACACUAGGGACACAGACACUGGGAGACUAGGGGACACUGGGAGAUUAGGGGAUACUGGGAAACUAGGGGACACUGGCUGGGAGACAGACACUUGGGGAGACAUGGGGACAGUUGUGGACA